This 496-nucleotide long non-coding RNA is filed under the name Panax ginseng (ginseng). Its description in RNAcentral is "long non-coding RNA (PGIN_LNC014916)". The record is from RNAcentral. Lineage: Eukaryota; Viridiplantae; Streptophyta; Magnoliopsida; Apiales; Araliaceae.
UCCCUCACAUAUUCCGCAACAUGGACUGUUUAAUGAGAUGACCCACAUCGAUUGAUUUUCCUUUAAUGACUCCAUAUAGUAUCAUGGCACGCUCCUUAAUGACAUCAUUUUGGUGCCGAGUUGGGAGCCGACUAGCACAAAUGAAGUUGUACCAUGCCUUUGCAUAUCGACUCAAUGCUGUGUGCGAAAAAUGGAUCUUUUGGCCAGUCUCCUGUUUGGCAGUCCACUUUGUACCCUGCUUGCACAUUUCCUCAAUCAGCCUAUCCAAGUCGCGCUGGUACUCUACCCAUUUACGUCAUUUGAUGGGAGAGUUUCCAUAUGAAAUAGAUCAUUGAUGCUCUUCUUGGAGUAAGACGUCUGUUUAUCGCGCACAAAGGAAAUCCCACUCUGCGUCUCUCGUGCAUUCACGUAGAACUCUCGGACCAAUGCCAUCGGGGCUGCCAAAGCUGUAUCCAUGAAUAAUGCCUAACCAUUUCCCCUUAUCAUCUCUAACAUC